UGGUGAUAAAUGAGUGCCCCAUGGCAGUUCUUCCCCUGGAGGGAGGGCAUGGAGGGGCCUGGGGGUGGCUCUGGUGCUCCAGGCUGGGUGCCCCUGUACUCUGGGGCUGCAGGGUGCUCAGCCCAUGCUUUUAGGGAAAAGCCCACCUGCUGCAAGGGCACUGCACACAGCUCACCAGCACACGCUCCUCCUCAUGCUGGGGGGAAAGCAAGGCUUGAUUUCCCCUAGAAGUACUUAAUUCUAAUUAAAUGCUUCAGGUUUAAUAGGUGGUUGCUCAGCCCAGCUUACUGCCUGGCAAGGCAGGGCACCCGAGCUGGGAACCGGCACAGAGCAGCCCAGAGAUGCUGUGACACAACAUCUUUGAGCACGCUGAAAUGGAUGCAAGGAGACGGUGCCGCGCUGCUCGGCUUCUAACAAGCAGGAGAAUUCGGUGUUUUCGUAACCUGGAAUCACAUUGUGCAUCACCGUGAUGCUCCCACAUGGAGGUGGCACAGCGGGAGCGUGCUCAGCUCAGCCGUCACCAAGCCCCGUGUGCGGCAGCACCGUGGGGACGGACGUUGGCCCACCCCAUAGCGCCGGAUCCUGGGGGAUGCUCAGCGUGUGGGGCGAGGAACCCAGUGGGGAUGGCAGCGGCGCAACGCGGGCACCCACCCCACGACCCAUACCACCACCACCUCUGGGGACUGUGCUCAGAUGUGAGAGCAGCCACUGCUCCUGAGCAACACCACCCUGCUUUGGUUCAUGCUGCGGGGCAGGAGCGAUGCCCACGGCUUCCUCCUAACGUGGAGCCCCAGUGGGGCCUCUGCCCACGCUGCAGCACCGCUUCACUCCUCCUCAGCAAACCUGUAAGGGGGUUCCCUGCAGGACCACCCGCAGGACCUGGUUGUGCGCGCACAGAGGGCACAGCGGGACCGACGGACGGAGCAGAGCAGGACUGACGGACACGGCACCAGUGCGAGGUGAGGUGAGCGCCAGCAUUCCGCGGG
This is a long non-coding RNA of Numida meleagris (helmeted guineafowl), 986 nucleotides long. RefSeq lists it as uncharacterized. The record is from RefSeq and is a predicted model, not a curated record. Lineage: Eukaryota; Metazoa; Chordata; Aves; Galliformes; Numididae. The transcript has 3 exons.